Molecule: ribosomal RNA, 253 nt
Filed under: uncultured bacterium
Lineage: Bacteria
Description: partial 16S ribosomal RNA
Rfam family: Bacterial small subunit ribosomal RNA
Source: RNAcentral
UACGUAGGGGGCUAGCGUUGUCCGGAAUCAUUGGGCGUAAAGAGCGUGUAGGCGGCCCGGUAAGUCCGCUGUGAAAGUCGGGGGCUCAACCCUCGAAUGCCGGUGGAUACUGUCGGGCUAGAGUGCGGAAGAGGCGAGUGGAAUUCCUGGUGUAGCGGUGAAAUGCGUAGAUAUCAGGAGGAACACCGGUGGUGCAGACGGCUCUCUGGACCGUAACUGACGCUGAGACACGAAAGCGUGGGUAGCAAACAGG